Long non-coding RNA from Gossypium arboreum, 450 nucleotides. RefSeq lists it as uncharacterized. Lineage: Eukaryota; Viridiplantae; Streptophyta; Magnoliopsida; Malvales; Malvaceae. The transcript is spliced from 2 exons. The record is from RefSeq and is a predicted model, not a curated record.
AAAUCCCCAACCAUAGUGGGCUUGGAGCUGUGAGGGAAUUCGGAGUGGCCACCAGUUCUGAAAGUUUGAUUUUCCUCUGGUAUCAGCGAGGAGAUCUCGGUGACGAGCGCGCUAGCGUUAAUUCAUGCGUUGAUUACGGCGUGAUACGAGGCCGGAGUCACGGCACCAAUGAAGCCCACUGAAACGGCGCGAGACGAAAGGGCACGAUGCUUGGGAUGGUUGCGGCGCCUAGGGUUUCUGAAACCCUAGGCCUCUCUGUCUUCCAUUAACAAAUUGGGCCAUUUGGGCCCUGGAUGUUUUGGGUUAAGACUGUACACGGGUAUUGGGUUAAACCGGGGUAUAGGCUAUCGGGUUUAGACCAAUUGGGUCACAAGUGUAACGGGUUUGGGGCUUAUGAGACCUUGAUGCCUGUUUAUUGUAAAUGGACUGUAAAUGAACUUUUAUUUUUAA